RNAcentral lists this ribosomal RNA (484 nucleotides) under uncultured bacterium. Its description in RNAcentral is "partial 16S ribosomal RNA". It matches the Rfam family "Bacterial small subunit ribosomal RNA", at positions 30 to 507 of the family's 1533-position model. The record is from RNAcentral.
AUUGAACGCUGGCGGCAGGCCUAACACAUGCAAGUCGAGCGGAUGAAGGGAGCUUGCUCCUGGAUUCAGCGGCGGACGGGUGAGUAAUGCCUAGGAAUCUGCCUGGUAGUGGGGGAUAACGUCCGGAAACGGGCGCUAAUACCGCAUACGUCCUGAGGGAGAAAGUGGGGGAUCUUCGGACCUCACGCUAUCAGAUGAGCCUAGGUCGGAUUAGCUAGUUGGUGGGGUAAAGGCCUACCAAGGCGACGAUCCGUAACUGGUCUGAGAGGAUGAUCAGUCACCCUGGAACUUAGACACGGUCCAGACUCCUACGGGAGGCAGCAGUGGGGAAUAUUGGACAAUGGGCGAAGGCCUGAUCCAGCCAUGCCGCGUGUGUGAAGAAGGUCUUCGGAUUGUAAAGCUCUUUAAGUUGGGAGGAAGGGCAGUAAGUUAAUACCUUGCUGUUUUGACGUUACCAACAGAAUAAGCACCGGCUAACUUCGUG